CACGUAGGGGGCGAGCGUUGUCCGGAAUCAUUGGGCGUAAAGAGCGUGUAGGCGGCCCGAUAAGUCCGCUGUGAAAGUCCAGGGCUCAACCCUGGGAUGCCGGUGGAUACUGUCGGGCUCGAGUCCGGAAGAGGAGUGUGGAAUUCCUGGUGUAGCGGUGAAAUGCGCAGAUAUCAGGAGGAACACCAAUGGCGAAGGCAGCACUCUGGGACGUGACUGACGCUGAGACGCGAAAGCGUGGGGAGCAAACAGG
Molecule: ribosomal RNA, 253 nt
Filed under: uncultured bacterium
Lineage: Bacteria
Description: partial 16S ribosomal RNA
Rfam family: Bacterial small subunit ribosomal RNA
Source: RNAcentral